This 376-nucleotide ribosomal RNA is filed under the name uncultured bacterium. Its description in RNAcentral is "bacterial SSU rRNA". It matches the Rfam family "Bacterial small subunit ribosomal RNA", at positions 9 to 377 of the family's 1533-position model. The record is from RNAcentral.
GAGUUUGAUCCUGGCUCAGGACGAACGCUGGCGGUGUGCUUAACACAUGCAAGUGGUGCGACGAACCAGAGCUUGCUCUGGGGCAAAGCCGCGAACGGGUGAGUAACACGUGGGUAAUCUACCCCGAUGACUGGGACAACCCGGAGGAAACUCGGGCUAAUACCGGAUGUGGUACGGAAACAUAAGUUUCUUACGUAAAGGUAGCUUCGGCUUCCGCAUUGGGAGGGGCCCCGCGGCCCAUUAGCUAGUUGGUGGGGUCAAGGCCUACCAAGGCAACGAUGGUAGCUGGUCUGAGAGGACGAUCAGCCACACUGGGACUGAGACACGGCCCAGACUCCUACGGGAGGCAGCAGUGGGGAAUCUUGCGCAAUGCGUG